This 71-nucleotide transfer RNA is filed under the name Crossorhombus valderostratus (broadbrow flounder). RNAcentral describes it as "tRNA-Gln". It matches the Rfam family "tRNA". From Rfam's summary of the family: Transfer RNA (tRNA) molecules are approximately 80 nucleotides in length. Their secondary structure includes four short double-helical elements and three loops (D, anti-codon, and T loops). Lineage: Eukaryota; Metazoa; Chordata; Actinopteri; Pleuronectiformes; Bothidae. The record is from RNAcentral.
UAGAAGGUGGUGUAGUGGAAGCACAAGGAGUUUUGAUCUCCUCAGGUCAGGUUCGAAUCCUCUCCUUCUAA